This 253-nucleotide ribosomal RNA is filed under the name uncultured bacterium. RNAcentral's name for it is "partial 16S ribosomal RNA". It matches the Rfam family "Bacterial small subunit ribosomal RNA", at positions 524 to 776 of the family's 1533-position model. The record is from RNAcentral.
UACAGAGGUCCCGAGCGUUGUUCGGAUUCAUUGGGCGUAAAGGGUGCGUAGGCGGCGCCGUAAGUGGGGUGUGAAAUCCCGGGGCUUAACCCCGGGACUGCAUUCCAUACUGCGGUGCUUGAGGACUGGAGAGGAGACUGGAAUUUACGGUGUAGCAGUGAAAUGCGUAGAGAUCGUAAGGAAGACCAGUGGCGAAGGCGGGUCUCUGGACAGUUCCUGACACUGAGGCACGAAGGCCAGGGGAGCAAACGGG